GAUGAAGAACGCAGCGAAAUGCGAUACGUAAUGUGAAUUGCAGAAUUCAGUGAAUCAUCGAGUCUUUGAACGCACAUUGCGCCCCCUGGUAUUCCGGGGGGCAUGCCUGUCCGAGCGUCAUUGCUGCCCUCAAGCACGGCUUGUGUGUUGGGCCUCCGUCCUCCUCCCGGGGGACGGGCCCGAAAGGCAGCGGCGGCACCGCGUCCGGUCCUCGAGCGUAUGGGGCUUCGUCACCCGCUCUUGUAGGCCCGGCCGGCGCUUGCCGACACAUCAAUCUUUUUUCCAGGUUGACCUCGGAUCAGGUAGGGAUACCCGCUGAACUUAAGCAUAUCAAUAAGCGGAGGG
This 345-nucleotide unclassified non-coding RNA is filed under the name soil metagenome. RNAcentral's name for it is "partial contains 5.8S ribosomal RNA, internal transcribed spacer 2, and large subunit ribosomal RNA". The stretch from base 1 to 120 matches the Rfam family "5.8S ribosomal RNA", at positions 35 to 154 of the family's 154-position model. The record is from RNAcentral.